UAAUAUGAGAGAAAGGGUAUACCAAAGGAUAUUGGUAAAUCAACAUAAAUAUCAAUUGAAACCAAUGUGAAACUCAGUAACUGCAUUCACGAAGUCUAGUACUUCUAGCACUUUAGUUAAAUAAGGAGAGAUUCUAACAAUGAAUUCAACAUGAUUUAUUGAUCAAUAUAGUUUAGUCAACUGGCACUUUAACUCUGAUUGCCCAUUAUGAAUUAAUUCCCAGUGGUCAUAGGAAUUACGCACGACUCCUCUGAGCUUGGGUGGAGCUCUGAAUAAUGUGAAAGAGGCGAAGAUUGGAAGGAAGUGUUUUGAGUAAAGGAGUCUGGAAGGGAGAAUGACAAAUAAGCAGUGAGAUUUAAAGCAUGUGGAGUGGAGGCUGAUUGGCUUAAAGAUGGAGGGCAGAGAGAUGAUUGGUACAGACCAGUGAUGUCAGCAAUGAGGUUGAUAGUAUGACAAAGUGGAAGUGAUGAAAAGCAAAUACUAGCCAGUGAACACCAAGGUAGUAAGCAGAUGUAUAGUUACAGAUCUUGCUUAUUGAACUUACGCAUACGCUUCAUUAGUACUCAAUGCAAAUAACUUCUUCCAUGAUUAUCUCCGCACAAAGGAAAAACACAAGAGCAUAUCACCCAGGUGUCAGCGAGGAAUUCACAGGCAACAAACUGCAAAGGAGACAUAUUUUAAAUGUGAAAAUGAUUUUGAUCUAUGUGAUCAUCGUAGCUUUGGCAGUGACUGUUGUGGGACAAGGGUCUUUGGAAUGCAAUCUAACUGAACCUGGACCCCAGACGUGUUUUGGAGUUUUAGGAGAACCACUUGUUUUUUACAUACCUAAGAAGCCACGUAUAAAGACAAGCUUGAAAAAGAGUACAGAUAAGAUUUUAAUGUUAAUAAAUGAUAAAUUAGUUACUCUCAAUGAAAAAUACAAGAAUCGUACUACAUUUUUCCCAAAUGGAACAUUGAAGCUCAAAAAAGUAACAAAAAAUGACUCUGGAGAGUACAGCAUGGAAACACACAUUUCUGCUGAAGGUGUGUUAUUGCACACAGUUAACAUCCAUCUACAUAUACUAGCUCCUGUGUCAGAACCAGCUGUUACGCAGAUGUGUUUGUCACCAAAACAGAUGACAGUCAGCUGUUUCUCUGAAGGAGACGAAGUAGAGUUCAUUUUGUCUUUGGAUGAUAAGUUGUUGAUACAGUCUACAGCUGACGGUAUAGAAAACAACAACAUUUCAAAUGUUACCAUCAACUUACCUGGUCAGCUGAUGGGAAACCUGACAUGUGUUGCUCAAAACAAUGCCAGCAGAAAACAAACUAUCACCCACCUUACAAGCUGCACAGCUCCUGUGUCAGAACCAGCUGUUUUGCAGAUGUGUUUGUCACCAGAACAGAUGACAGUCAGCUGCUCCUCUGAAGGAGAUGAAGUAGAGUUCAUCUUCUUAUUAGAUGAUAACUUGUUGAUAAAAACCCAACCCAGCAUUGCAGAAAACCACAACAUUUCAAAUGUUACCAUCAGUUUACAUGGUCAGCUGAUGGGAAAGCUAAUGUGUAUCAUCCGAAACAAUAUAAGCAGAGAACAAACCAUCAUCCACCUUAUAAGCUGCACAGGUACAACUUCUGUGGUGACUGUGGUUGUACUAACAAGUGUUGCACCUCUACUUCUCAGUUUCUCAAUUCUCACUUUACUUUUGACUGUUAAUAAAGGUGUUGCUGAAGAUAACAUUUUUUACUCCAAACUUGCAUACGAAGAAAACAUCAAUCAACACACAAAGGCCACAGCCAGAUGAGGGAGUCAGUCUCAGGGCUUUCUUGUUUUGAGGAAACAGUGCAAACAACCACAUCACCAUGCUGCCUCUACUCAUACAUUAUUACUUAUUUACAAGUAGUUAAUCUGCACAUUUAUAAUUUUUAUUCUUGUUAAUAAGCUCAUGUUUUACAUUUUUGCUUAACCCUUGGAGAUUAAAACAAGGCUCUGGUCAGUAGUGUUGGUGCUUUGCUUACAUUGUGUAUUGUUUAGAAAAUGUGAGCUGUGCCUCAAGCAUCAUAGCUACUCUUCACUGUGUGACCUUAGAAACCACAAACUAUAUCCUGUUUUCACUGAGCUGCUAAACCACAACUGCUGCCGUUGCACAGAGGUCAGUGUGCAACUACAGAAUCGGUAUCAUGCAUAACAAUGGCUUGUUUGUUCAUUAUUACAAAUCAUAGUAGAUGAUCCAUAAUAAUAAAUGCUCACUCAUUCUUAUGAAGCAACAAUACAAAAAACAUGAAGGGCACACAAGGCAGCUGGCAAUGAAUUUACAUAUUAGCCUGUUUCAUUGUGGAAAGAACUCUAACUGAUUAACUAACAUUUUAAUUAAAAUAUUUUAUGUGACACAAAUGCAGCGGUGAUAAGAAUGUUUGCUGACAUGUAUAAAAGCGACAGCGCAUAGAGAUUGUUGGCCGAGAUUUAGAUUUUUCAGUAAUAUUUGUCAUCAUGUGUCACUUUUGAAGUAUAAUAAAUAUUCUGUUUCC
Oreochromis aureus is the source of this 2502-nucleotide long non-coding RNA. Lineage: Eukaryota; Metazoa; Chordata; Actinopteri; Cichliformes; Cichlidae. The record is from Ensembl.